RNAcentral lists this ribosomal RNA (253 nucleotides) under uncultured bacterium. Its description in RNAcentral is "partial 16S ribosomal RNA". It matches the Rfam family "Bacterial small subunit ribosomal RNA", at positions 524 to 776 of the family's 1533-position model. The record is from RNAcentral.
UACGUAGGGUGCAAGCGUUAAUCGGAAUUACUGGGCGUAAAGCGUGCGCAGGCGGUUUUGUAAGUCUGUCGUGAAAGCCCCGGGCUCAACCUGGGAAUUGCGUUGGAGACUGUAAGGCUAGAAUCUGGCAGAGGGGGGUAGAAUUCCACGUGUAGCAGUGAAAUGCGUAGAGAUGUGGAGGAACACCGAUGGCGAAGGCAGCCCCCUGGGUCAAGAUUGACGCUCAUGCACGAAAGCGUGGGGAGCAAACAGG